AUUUAAUACCCAUAUACACAUUUUAUAUAUUAUAAAUUUAAAAUUUAUCUCAAAAA
Molecule: transfer RNA, 56 nt
Filed under: Idgia oculata
Lineage: Eukaryota; Metazoa; Arthropoda; Insecta; Coleoptera; Prionoceridae
Description: tRNA-Ile
Source: RNAcentral